RNAcentral lists this ribosomal RNA (513 nucleotides) under uncultured soil bacterium. RNAcentral describes it as "bacterial SSU rRNA". It matches the Rfam family "Bacterial small subunit ribosomal RNA", at positions 26 to 526 of the family's 1533-position model. The record is from RNAcentral.
AGAUUGAACGCUGGCGGCAGGCCUAACACAUGCAAGUCGAGCGGUAGAGGGGUGCUUGCAUCUCUUGAGAGCGGCGGACGGGUGAGUAAUGCCUAGGAAUCUGCCUAGUGGUGGGGGAUAACGUUCGGAAACGGACGCUAAUACCGCAUACGUCCUACGGGAGAAAGCGGGGGACCUUCGGGCCUCGCGCCAUUAGAUGAGCCUAGGUCGGAUUAGCUAGUUGGUGAGGUAAUGGCUCACCAAGGCGACGAUCCGUAACUGGUCUGAGAGGAUGAUCAGUCACACUGGAACUGAGACACGGUCCAGACUCCUACGGGAGGCAGCAGUGGGGAAUAGUUGGACAAUGGGACGAAAGCCUGAUCCAGCCAUGCCGCGUGUGUGAAGAAGGUCUUCGGACUGUAAAGCUACUUUAAGUUGGGAGGUAAGGUUGUAAACCUAAUACGUUGCUAACUUUAGACGUUACCGAACAGAAUAAGCAACCGGCUAACUUCGUGCCAAGCAGCCCGGCGUAAC